Molecule: microRNA precursor, 108 nt
Filed under: Pelobates cultripes (western spadefoot toad)
Lineage: Eukaryota; Metazoa; Chordata; Amphibia; Anura; Pelobatidae
Source: RNAcentral
GGUCUGCUCAGCUCCCUCGCGCGCCGCAGAGUGAGGCUGGGAGCCGUGUUGAUGACGUCAUCAACCCGGCUCCCAGCCUCACUCUGAGGUGCGCGAGGGAGCUGAGCA